AUGAACGCUAGCUACAGGCUUAACACAUGCAAGUCGAGGGGCAGCAUUUCAGUUUGCUUGCAAACUGGAGAUGGCGACCGGCGCACGGGUGAGUAACACGUAUCCAACCUGCCGAUAACUUGGGGAUAGCCUUUCGAAAGAAAGAUUAAUACCCGAUGGUAUAAUCAGACCGCAUGGUCUUGUUAUUAAAGAAUUUCGGUUAUCGAUGGGGAUGCGUUCCAUUAGGCAGUUGGUGAGGUAACGGCUCACCAAACCUUCGAUGGAUAGGGGUUCUGAGAGGAAGGUCCCCCACAUUGGAACUGAGACACGGUCCAAACUCCUACGGGAGGCAGCAGUGAGGAAUAUUGGUCAAUGGGCGCAGGCCUGAACCAGCCAAGUAGCGUGAAGGAUGACUGCCCUAUGGGUUGUAAACUUCUUUUAUAUGGGAAUAAAGUUUUCCACGUGU
Molecule: ribosomal RNA, 445 nt
Filed under: uncultured bacterium
Lineage: Bacteria
Description: bacterial SSU rRNA
Rfam family: Bacterial small subunit ribosomal RNA
Source: RNAcentral